UGCGAGUCAUUGUAGUAAUACAAGGCAGACGGCUCAGUAACGCGUAGUCAACCUACCCUAUGGACGGGAAUAACCUCGGGAAACUGAGUAUAAUGCCCGAUAGAACACUAUACCUGGAAUGGUUUGUGUUCCAAAUGAAUGUCGCCGUAGGAUGGGACUGCGGCCUAUCAGUUUGUUGGUGAGGUAAUGGCCCACCAAGACUAUUACAGGUACGGGCUCUGAGAGGAGUAGCCCGGAGAUGGGUACUGAGACACGGACCCAGGCCCUAUGGGGCGCAGCAGGCGAGAAAACUUUGCAAUGUGCGAAAGCACGACAAGGUUAAUCCGAGUGGUUUGUGCUAAACGAACCUUUUGACAGUCCUAGAAACACUGUUGAAUAAGGGGUGGGCAAGUUCUGGUGUCAGCCGCCGCGGUAAAACCAGCACCUCAAGUGGUCAGGAUGAUUAUUGGGCCUAAAGCAUCCGUAGCCGGCUCUGUAAGUUUUCGGUUAAAUCUGUACGCUCAACGUACAGGCUGCCGGGAAUACUGCAGAGCUAGGGAGUGGGAGAGGUAGACGGUACUCGGUAGGAAGGGGUAAAAUCCUUUGAUCUAUUGAUGACCACCUGUGCGAAGGCGGUCUACCAGAACACGUCCGACGGUGAGGGAUGAAAGCUGGGGGAGCAAACCGGAUUAGAUACCCGGGUAGUCCCAGCUGUAAACUAUGCAAACUCAGUGAUGCAUUGGCUUGUGGCCAAUGCAGUGCUGCAGGGAAGCCGUUAAGUUUGCCGCCUGGGAAGUACGUACGCAAGUAUGAAACUUAAAGGA
This 803-nucleotide ribosomal RNA is filed under the name uncultured crenarchaeote. RNAcentral describes it as "bacterial SSU rRNA". It matches the Rfam family "Archaeal small subunit ribosomal RNA", at positions 52 to 863 of the family's 1478-position model. The record is from RNAcentral. Lineage: Archaea; Thermoproteati; Thermoproteota.